CCGCCCGUCACAUCACGAAAGUGGAUUGUACUAGAAGUCUGCGCGCUAACCCGCAAGGGAGGCAGCGGCCCAAGGUAUGAUUCACGAUUGGGGUG
Molecule: ribosomal RNA, 95 nt
Filed under: uncultured bacterium
Lineage: Bacteria
Description: partial 16S ribosomal RNA
Rfam family: Bacterial small subunit ribosomal RNA
Source: RNAcentral